This 2141-nucleotide ribosomal RNA is filed under the name Triticum aestivum (bread wheat). RNAcentral's name for it is "partial small subunit ribosomal RNA". Lineage: Eukaryota; Viridiplantae; Streptophyta; Magnoliopsida; Poales; Poaceae. The record is from RNAcentral.
UAGAGAGUCAAGGGGCGAUAAUUAAUGGGUGGAGAGAGAAGGGAGGAGAGAAGGGCAUCGAGAGAGAGGAGCGGGGAGAGGCAGGAGGGGAGGAUCCCAAGCUGCGGGAGCGGUCGGGCGCCGCUUCGGGGGCGGGUGGAGCGGCCGCCGCAGGGGCCGGUCCUUCUACCGACCGCCGAAAGCCCACGACGUAGAACAGUCCGGGAAGAACCGAAAGAACGGCCUUCACGUCUCACGACUGUCCUUUUAUGGUAAAUCUCUUUUUCACUAGAUGUGGCAGUAAAGAGAGAAGUAAAAGGACCACACGUCAGUCGAGGGCGAGAUACCGUAGGUAAGUUGGUGACCUCGACUAGGAAAGAUGACCUACGCACAAUAAGAACGUAGUUUGGCACCAUGACAGUACCUUGACCCAUAAUGGGGUUAACACUGUAGACCUUACCAAUACGUUGAAGAUCACCCUAGGUUCUAAUAACUUCAACUGUUGUCACACUCUCUCCUAGCACGAGACGACUUACCACGUGUCUUUAACGACCCAUAGGACUAACGGUAACCCCUUCGACACCGUAUACAAGACAGACCUUACAUACCGUCACACUCGGUUGAACCUUGACCUUUACGGUAAGAGUAGUAUGAAGUCGAAAAGAAACGACCGUAGUAACAGUAGACAGAUCUACUUGAAGAGGUCUUUCCGAUACCAAACCCAAGACCGUAAAGAGAGAAGUAACGAUGGUUAUAGACACUCUUAUAGUAAACCUUCCGUAAGUCGGGAUGGUGGUAGUUGUCACCUGCACCACGACUUAAACUUCCCCGACAGUAACGUAACAAGGUAGACAACUAAUGAGCUAGUCUGUUUCAGGCACGGGAUGCUCUUCGAAAGAUGGCAGUCUUAGACGGUUUACACUGGUUAAACGAACGAUGACAGGACCAGAAAGAGUAUCAAUAGAUAAAGGUUCCGAAGGCGCAACACGAAGGUCACUCCAGUUUCUUACGAGCACCCGUCGUUCCAAGUAUGGGUUAAUUCGACAAGAUGUGAAGGUUGUACGGGUAGUAAGACGUGAGACGGGAAUAAUGGUUGGACAUAAAGUAUAGGGUCGAAGAGAUGUCCUUCAUGUCACCUUUGAAAGACCAAUUGGAAGAGCCAUAUACCUUUCUUAGACUUAUAAGACCGGUAAGAUAGGGACAACCACCAGAACGAAUGAUACAUUGACGUGGUAGUUCAUACCGACUAUAAGACCGCUUAGGUAAGGUACGUAACAAGAUACACCAGAAGUACGACAGUCGUACACGAGAGAAGAGUUUUUGUACCUAACUUCAGAGACCAAGUAGUCGGUUCCUACAACGCUUCGUCGACUUCCUUGUUGUUUACCACUACGGUCCGGUAGCACUCAGUUUGGACGUCUUCCUUGACUUGUCUAUGUAGGGAUGACGGCGACGUAAACCACCUCACACGUAGCCGCGUAACUGACAAGAGCGACUAAAGUACCCGCGUUAACCAAGUCCUUGGCCAUAAGACAACCGACAAUGGUAGUAUAUGGUCAUGAAACUCUGGAAGCUCUUCCUCUCCCGCUGUCUCGAACCAAAGAAGCCCAAAACUAACUAUGUACUAUCGAAACCCUCGUACAAUACCGAUGUCGUGUCGAACUCAGAAAGAUCUGUCAGCGUCGUGACGAACCGACCGACCGACAACACCAACAUUGGCCUCUAAUUUAAGACAAAUCCAAUGGGGCUGAAUAAAUGUCAACUCUUUAGACAUCUACGACGCACACAAGAAGUCCGGUCAAUACCACCACCUGGCCAGGUUCGUGCCCGCACCGGCAGUGGACAGUAGAAGGCAUCUGAAGAGUACAAAAACUGAUAUAUCGUUGACUUACAAAACCCUGGUUAAAUCAGUAGAACUCGACCAUAUACAAAAAGAACGGACGCUGGGAACAAUUAGAGAGGCUAUGAAAGUUGACAGCUCAUCCAAAAACACACAAAACAUAAUGGAUACAAGGACUUAUAUUCAGCAACCCCCUCAAGUCAAAAUGUGAGGGGUUGCUGAAUAUAAAUCCUUGCCUCCCUCAUCUUGUUUUUACGGACUGGGUCAGAGUAUCAUGAGACGCACACGUACAACUUACUCAAACGAGUCUUCAUUAUUGCAC